UAUUAAUUUAUAAUAUUGAUGGGACCAGAUAUUUACAUAGGAUUUUCAAAAAAGUUAUUAUCUUAUUCAUUUAUCGAUUUGUAUCAAUUUUUACACUAGUCUCAACUCAGAACCGGAAGAACUUAUUAAUUUAUAGAAGUUAUUAAUUUAUAGAGGUUUUACUUCAAUACACAAAAAAAA
Molecule: small RNA, 180 nt
Filed under: Arabidopsis thaliana (thale cress)
Lineage: Eukaryota; Viridiplantae; Streptophyta; Magnoliopsida; Brassicales; Brassicaceae
Description: ATSL258290
Source: RNAcentral